UGGGGAAUAUUGCACAAUGGGCGCAAGCCUGAUGCAGCCAUGCCGCGUGUGUGAAGAAGGCCUUCGGGUUGUAAAGCACUUUCAGCGGGGAGGAAGGCGAUAAGGUUAAUAACCUUGUCGAUUGACGUUACCCGCAGAAGAAGCACCGGCUAACUCCGUGCCAGCAGCCGCGGUAAUACGGAGGGUGCAAGCGUUAAUCGGAAUUACUGGGCGUAAAGCGAACGCAGGCGGUCUGUCAAGUCGGAUGUGAAAUCCCCGGGCUCAACCUGGGAACUGCAUUCGAAACUGGCAGGCUAGAGUCUUGUAGAGGGGGGUAGAAUUCCAGGUGUAGCGGUGAAAUGCGUAGAGAUCUGGAGGAAUACCGGUGGCGAAGGCGGCCCCCUGGACAAAGACUGACGCUCAGGUGCGAAAGCGUGGGGAGCAAACAGG
RNAcentral lists this ribosomal RNA (429 nucleotides) under Chloroflexota bacterium. RNAcentral's name for it is "Chloroflexi bacterium partial 16S ribosomal RNA". It matches the Rfam family "Bacterial small subunit ribosomal RNA", at positions 355 to 776 of the family's 1533-position model. Lineage: Bacteria; Bacillati; Chloroflexota. The record is from RNAcentral.